AAGUCUAGUACCGAAGAUGCGGAUUGUAUGUUUACAUACAGUGGUAGGGGAGCGUUCUUAAUGGAAUGAAGCAUUACCGUAAGGAGAUGUGGACUAUUAAGAAGUGAGAAUCCUGGCAUGAGUAGCGAUAAAAGUGGUGAGAAUCCACUUCACCGUAAGCGUAAGGGUUCCUGGGCAAGGCUCGUCCUCCCAGGGUUAGUCGGGACCUAAGGCGAGGCCGAAAGGCGUAGUCGAUGGAAAACAGGUUAAUAUUCCUGUACCACCUGUUAGGAGUGAUGGGGUGACGGAGAAGGAUAGAUCAUCCGUGUUUUGGAUUACACGGUUCAAGCUCGUAGGAUUAAGAAAUUGGCAAAUCCGUUUCUUUUUAAGUCCGAGAAGUGAGUACGAGAGGCCCUAGGCCUCAUAAAGUGAUUGAUUCCAUGCUUCCUAGAAAAACCUCUAAAUGUUGAAUAAUAGGUGCUCGUACUGUAAACGGACACACGUACGCGGGUAGAGUAUACCAAGGUGUUUGAGAUAAUUAUGGCCAAGGAACUCGGCAAAAUAGCUCCGUAACUUCGGGAUAAGGAGUGCCUAUGUUAGGUGAAGGAUCUUGCAUCUGGAGCUGAGAUAGGUGACACUGAAAUGAUGGAAGCGACUGUUUACCAAAAACACAGGCCUGUGCUAACCCGCAAGGGGAUGUAUACGGGCUGACGCCUGCCCGGUGCUGGACGGUUAAGGGGACGGGUUAUCCUUCGGGAGAAGCUUGGAACCGAAGCCCCAGUAAACGGCGGCCGUAACUAUAACGGUCCUAAGGUAGCGAAAUUCCUUGUCGUCUAAUUAGCGACCCGCAUGAAUGGCGUAACGACUUCUGUACUGUCUCGGCCAUAAUCUCAGCGAAAUUGUAGUGCUGGUGAAGAUGCCAGCUUCCCGUUGUGGGACGGAAAGACCCCGUGCACCUUUACUAUAACCUAGCACUGGAUUUUGAUGUUAAAUGCGUAGGAUAGGUGGGAGACUAUGAAAGUUUGAUUUUGGUCAAGCUGGAGUCGUUGGUGAAAUACCACCCUUUUGAUGUUAGGAUUCUAACUUAAAUCCGUUAUCCGGAUUGAGGACAAUGUUAGGCGGGUAGUUUGACUGGGGCGGUUGACUCCUAAAGAGUAACGGAGUCGCUCAAAGGUUCUCUCAGCCUGAUUGGAAACCAGGCGUCGAGUGUAAUGGCACAAGAGAGCUUGACUGUGAGAUUGACAAAUCGAGCAGGUACGAAAGUAGGACAUAGUGACCCGGUGGCUUCCAUGUGGGAGGGCCAUCGAUCAUCGGAUAAAAGGUACGCCGGGGAUAACAGAUUAAUCGCGCCCAAGAGUUCACAUCGACGGCGCGGAUUGAUACCUCGAUGUCGGCUCAUCGCAUCCCGGGGCUGUAGAAGGUCCCAAGGGUUGAGCUGUUCGCUCAUUAAAGCGGUACGCGAGCUGGGUUCAGAACGUCGUGAGACAGUUCGGUCCCUAUCUACAACGGGCGAAGGAGAAUUGAGAGGGGUUGCUCAUAGUACGAGAGGACCUGAGUGAACAAACCUCUAGUGUACCAGUUGUUGUGCCAACAGCAGUGCUGGGUAGCUACGUUUGGAAAGGAUAACCGCUGAAAGCAUCUUAAGUGGGAAACCUGCCUCGAGAUUAAUUCUCCCGAACCAUUAGGUUCCUUAAGACCACUCGAAGACUACGAGUUUGAUAGGCACAGUGUGUAAGUUCAGUAAUGAAUUCAGCUAAUGUGUACUAAUCGGUCGUGAGCCUUAACUAC
RNAcentral lists this ribosomal RNA (1767 nucleotides) under marine metagenome. RNAcentral's name for it is "bacterial LSU rRNA". It matches the Rfam family "Bacterial large subunit ribosomal RNA", at positions 1184 to 2925 of the family's 2925-position model. The record is from RNAcentral.